Molecule: ribosomal RNA, 1372 nt
Filed under: uncultured bacterium
Lineage: Bacteria
Description: bacterial SSU rRNA
Rfam family: Bacterial small subunit ribosomal RNA
Source: RNAcentral
GAUGAACGCUGGCGGCGUGCCUAAUACAUGCAAGUCGAGCGAACGGACGAGAAGCUUGCUUCUCUGAUGUUAGCGGCGGACGGGUGAGUAACACGUGGAUAACCUACCUAUAAGACUGGGAUAACUUCGGGAAACCGGAGCUAAUACCGGAUAAUAUUUUGAACCGCAUGGUUCAAAAGUGAAAGACGGUCUUGCUGUCACUUAUAGAUGGAUCCGCGCUGCAUUAGCUAGUUGGUAAGGUAACGGCUUACCAAGGCAACGAUGCAUAGCCGACCUGAGAGGGUGAUCGGCCACACUGGAACUGAGACACGGUCCAGACUCCUACGGGAGGCAGCAGUAGGGAAUCUUCCGCAAUGGGCGAAAGCCUGACGGAGCAACGCCGCGUGAGUGAUGAAGGUCUUCGGAUCGUAAAACUCUGUUAUUAGGGAAGAACAUAUGUGUAAGUAACUGUGCACAUCUUGACGGUACCUAAUCAGAAAGCCACGGCUAACUACGUGCCAGCAGCCGCGGUAAUACGUAGGUGGCAAGCGUUAUCCGGAAUUAUUGGGCGUAAAGCGCGCGUAGGCGGUUUUUUAAGUCUGAUGUGAAAGCCCACGGCUCAACCGUGGAGGGUCAUUGGAAACUGGAAAACUUGAGUGCAGAAGAGGAAAGUGGAAUUCCAUGUGUAGCGGUGAAAUGCGCAGAGAUAUGGAGGAACACUAGUGGCGAAGGCGACUUUCUGGUCUGUAACUGACGCUGAUGUGCGAAAGCGUGGGGAUCAAACAGGAUUAGAUACCCUGGUAGUCCACGCCGUAAACGAUGAGUGCUAAGUGUUAGGGGGUUUCCGCCCCUUAGUGCUGCAGCUAACGCAUUAAGCACUCCGCCUGGGGAGUACGACCACAAGGUUGAAACUCAAAGGAAUUGACGGGGACCCGCACAAGCGGUGGAGCAUGUGGUUUAAUUCGAAGCAACGCGAAGAACCUUACCAAAUCUUGACAUCCUUUGACAACUCUAGAGAUAGAGCUUUCCCCUUCGGGGGACAAAGUGACAGGUGGUGCAUGGUUGUCGUCAGCUCGUGUCGUGAGAUGUUGGGUUAAGUCCCGCAACGAGCGCAACCCUUAAGCUUAGUUGCCAUCAUUAAGUUGGGCACUCUAAGUUGACUGCCGGUGACAAACCGGAGGAAGGUGGGGAUGACGUCAAAUCAUCAUGCCCCUUAUGAUUUGGGCUACACACGUGCUACAAUGGACAAUACAAAGGGCAGCGAAACCGCGAGGUCAAGCAAAUCCCAUAAAGUUGUUCUCAGUUCGGAUUGUAGUCUGCAACUCGACUACAUGAAGCUGGAAUCGCUAGUAAUCGUAGAUCAGCAUGCUACGGUGAAUACGUUCCCGGGUCU